CAGCUUGUUGGUGAGGUAACGGCUCACCAAGGCGACGAUCCGUAGCUGGUCUGAGAGGACGAUCAGCCACACUGGGACUGAGACACGGCCCAGACUCCUACGGGAGGCAGCAGUGGGGAAUCUUGCGCUAAUGCGGGAAACCGUGACGCAGCGACGCCGCGUGAGGGAAGAAGGCCUUCGGGUUGUAAACCUCUUUCAGGAGGGACGAAGCCACUCGGGUUAAUAGCCCAGAGGGUGACGGUACCUCCAGAAGAAGCCCCGGCUAACUACGUGCCAGCAGCCGCGGUAAUACGUAGGGGGCAAGCGUUGUCCGGAUUUAUUGGGCGUAACGAGCGUGUAGGCGGCUUGGUAGGUCUGCUGCGAAAACUCGAGGCUCAACCUCGAGACGUCGAUGGAAACCAUCUGGCUAGAGUCCGGAAGAGGAGAGUGGAAUUCCUGGUGUAGCGGUGAAAUGCGCAGAUAUCAGGAAGAACACCCGUGGCGAAGGCGGCUCUCUGGUACGUGACUGACGCUGAGACGCGAAAGCGUGGGAGCAAACAGGAUUAGAUACCCUGGUAGUCCACGCCGUAUACGAUGGGUGCUA
This 583-nucleotide ribosomal RNA is filed under the name uncultured Actinomycetes bacterium. RNAcentral describes it as "SSU rRNA". It matches the Rfam family "Bacterial small subunit ribosomal RNA", at positions 242 to 818 of the family's 1533-position model. The record is from RNAcentral. Lineage: Bacteria; Bacillati; Actinomycetota; Actinomycetes.